RNAcentral lists this long non-coding RNA (366 nucleotides) under Oryzias sinensis (Chinese medaka). RNAcentral's name for it is "lncRNA (ENSOSIG00000005537.1)". The record is from RNAcentral. Lineage: Eukaryota; Metazoa; Chordata; Actinopteri; Beloniformes; Adrianichthyidae.
AUGCUGUGCUAUUGUGUUUUUGCUGACAGUCAGUUGAGCAAAGGUCUUGCUCCGGGUUUCGUCUGUAUCUUAGAGUCUGGAACACCUCUCCCAGCUGAAGGUCCCACCACUGGCAGCAUCAUUGGAGCCAUCAUUGGGGUCAUUAUAAUCAUAGCAAUCAUUGGAACAGUCAUUGCAGUGUUCCGCAAGCACAAGAACAACAUCAUGAACAAAGACGGUCCACCCAAACACAAGCCCCCUCCCCCUAAGAAGACUGUAAAUUAUCAGUCCCAGGUAAGUCUUUGCCAAAUGCAGACAUGGAGUCUUAAAACAGUUGAGGUUGCCAAACAAAUGGCAAAAAUAUCACAAAUAUUGGAUCCAAUUUAA